This is a small nucleolar RNA of Scatophagus argus, 130 nucleotides long. RefSeq annotates it as small nucleolar RNA SNORA70. Lineage: Eukaryota; Metazoa; Chordata; Actinopteri; Scatophagidae. The record is from RefSeq and is a predicted model, not a curated record. The transcript has a single exon.
CUGUAGCUAAAUAAACCAGCUGGUCUCGCUGAAGUGUGGCUCUAUUGUGCAAAGGCUGCAGACUGCGACUCUUUGGUUGGGUUUGUCCUCCGGGUGUGCGGAGUGCUUUAAGGGGACCUUUGAGAUGGAU